UAACAGACAUAUACCAGGAGCUGUGCCAGGUCUGUUGACUCAUCCAGCUGUAACAGACAUAUACCAGGAGCUGUGCCAGGUCUGUUGACUCAUCCAGCUGUAACAGACAUAUACCAGGAGCUGAGCCAGGCCUGUUGACUCAUCCAGCUGUAACAGACAUAUACCAGGAGCUGUGCCAGGCCUGUUGACUCAUCCAGCUGUAACAGACAUAUACCAGGAGCUGUGCCAGGUCUGUUGACUCAUCCAGCUGUAACAGACAUAUACCAGGAGCUGUGCCAGGCCUGUUGACUCAUCCAGCUGUAACAGACAUAUACCAGGAGCUGUGCCAGGUCUGUUGACUCAUCCAGCUGUAACAGACAUAUACCAGGAGCUGUGCCAGGUCUGUUGACUCAUCCAGCUGUAACAGACAUAUACCAGGAGCUGUGCCAGACCUGUUGACUCAUCCAGCUGUAACAGACAUAUACCAGGAGCUGUGCCAGGUCUGUUGACUCAUCCAGCUGUAACAGACAUAUACCAGGAGCUGUGCCAGACCUGUUGACUCAUCCAGCUGUAACAGACAUAUACCAGGAGCUGUGCCAGGUCUGUUGACUCAUCCAGCUGUAACAGACAUAUACCAGGAGCUGUGCCAGACCUGUUGACUCAUCCAGCUGUAACAGACAUAUACCAGGAGCUGUGCCAGGUCUGUUGACUCAUCCAGCUGUAACAGACAUAUACCAGGAGCUGUGCCAGGUCUGUUGACUCAUCCAGCUGUAACAGACAUAUACCAGGAGCUGUGCCAGGUCUGUUGACUCAUCCAGCUGUAACAGACAUAUACCAGGAGCUGUGCCAGGUCUGUUGACUCAUCCAGCUGUAACAGACAUAUACCAGGAGCUGUGCCAGGUCUGUUGACUCAUCCAGCUGUAACAGACAUAUACCAGGAGCUGUGCCAGGUCUGUUGACUCAUCCAGCUGUAACAGACAUAUACCAGGAGCUGUGCCAGGCCUGUUGACUCAUCCAGCUGUAACAGACAUAUACCAGGAGCUGUGCCAGGCCUGUUGACUCAUCCAGCUGUAACAGACAUAUACCAGGAGCUGUGCCAGGUCUGUUGACUCAUCCAGCUGUAACAGACAUAUACCAGGAGCUGUGCCAGGCCUGUUGACUCAUCCAGCUGUAACAGACAUAUACCAGGAGCUGUGCCAGGCCUGUUGACUCAUCCAGCUGUAACAGACAUAUACCAGGAGCUGUGCCAGGUGUCUGUUGACUCAUCCAGCUGUAACAGACAUAUACCAGGAGCUG
Molecule: long non-coding RNA, 1275 nt
Organism: Oncorhynchus keta (chum salmon)
Lineage: Eukaryota; Metazoa; Chordata; Actinopteri; Salmoniformes; Salmonidae
Exons: 3
Source: RefSeq, a predicted model, not a curated record